Non-coding RNA from Nicotiana tabacum (common tobacco), 2793 nucleotides. Lineage: Eukaryota; Viridiplantae; Streptophyta; Magnoliopsida; Solanales; Solanaceae. The record is from RefSeq and is a predicted model, not a curated record.
GUUUUCAGAGAAAGAUAUAAAAGGGGUCGUUUUUCAGAUUUAAGGGAGAUUUUUUUGGGGACAAAAAAGGAAAAGGAGUGAAGAACUAGUGUGUAGGAACUCUUCAGAAAGAAACAUACAUUAAAAAUAUUUUUGUUUUUUGUUUUAAUUAAGACUUUUGGACAUUAAAGUGAGAGACAGAAAACGAAAAGAAAGGAUCCGCGAAAGGUUCUAGGAUUUUUGCUUUUGAUUUUCGAUCUUCUUCUUCUGAUUUCCUAGUUCUUUCAUAUUAAAAAAAUAUUGCAAGUUUCUUCGGUUUCUUUUUUUAUUUCAAAAUCAGAAAACAAAAAGGGAUUUCAGUUUCUCUUCUCUUCAAUUUUUGGAUAUCAAAAUAUGGAGUUCGAUUGAGUUAGAGGUGAGUUCGGUUUCUCCGGCGCCGUUCGAGUGUUGUUGCUGGUUCGUGGUUCUUGGAACACAAGUUCGUACUUGCUAGUUUUCCUAAAUAGUGAAGGAAUUUCACACAUCUCAGGGUAGUUAAGGUGAAAAAAAAUGAGUGUGACAACUUUGCGGGCUUCCACUCGUGGUGAAUUGCAGUUCAGGUGGUCAAAUUCCUGAUGUUGAUAUUGAAGAGAAUGAGAGUGACGAAGAACAAUCAGAUUGGUUUUACAUUUCAAUGGCAAUCGGAUUUGGUGUAAGCUUUUGGGGAGUAUGUGCUUCUUUGAUUUUCAAGAGAUCAUGGAGACAUGUCUAUUAUCGCUUUUUAGAUAGUAGUUGAAAAUCCUUAUGUGAAAAGUUACAAAUAUAGGGAGGGAUAUGGUUGAGGAGAUUGUUAUUCUCAAGAGUCUUAUUGUAUGUUCACUUAAACAAAAAGUAGACAAAUAUUCACAAAUAUGUUUUUUAAUCUCCGUAGUUAUAGUAGGGUAAAUUUUAAACCUUCGUAGUUACAGAAACGUGAUCUUAUUUAUUCUUUGGCGUGGAGAGUGGGUUAUUAGCAUAAAAACUUUAAGUUUAUUAUAUGAUAUUAGACAGUAUAGACUCCUGGCACUUCAACCUAAGUGAAGAAAAACUCUUUAAGGAAGCAAAACAAAUUGUAUAUGGAUAGAAAUCGGGGCUAUCUGAUUUCAUCCUUUGCUCGAGAUGGGAAUGUUGCGUCAAGGAGCUAGGCCAUCGGGUCCGGAAUUGAAGCCUCUUUUCGGACCAAGGUCGACGUCAAUCGCAGUCAGAGAGAGGCAGACUCCGAGUGACAUCGGUAUAGCUUGAUAACGGAAAAUGCGGGAUAUCCGCGAUUGAUCGAGGAUCAUGGCGUGAAUCUCGAAACGGAUCAAUCCACGACGGUUAAUCAGAUGUCAAUAUGGUUUCCUACUUAAAUUAGAAGCGUAUCCUGAUUAGGGCUCCUCUAUUAUAUAAAGAGAGAUCCUAUUCAUUUGUUAUGAUAGUUCACUCAUAAGAAUAUAUACACUCAUUACUUUUCCGCUAUUUCACUUACUAUUCAUCAGAGUUGCUUUAUCAUUUACUAUUCUUACUAUCCCACCUCGAGACUACCCAAGUCGAGGUCGAGACCUGGCUAACAUACUGGUUUGAUUUAUUUUAUUCUCCAAUUUAUUCAUUUAUUUUCUUGCUUAUUAAUUGGUAUUGGACGAAAUCACAUAUCCUUAAAACCACAAUAUAAGUUUAAUUGUUAUCCGAAUUUGAGGGUAAACAUAAACUUGUUAAAAAUAGAAGGUGAGAUUCUAAAUAUGAAUAGAACAAUUACUCUGUCUAAUUUGGGUUAAUUAGGGUUGUGCGUCCAAACUGGAGUUGGCAAAUAAAUAUAUGAAAUGUUGUAUAUUUAUAUAUUCUGUCAAAUUAUAGAAGUUAAUUGUCUCUGUUUCAUGAACGCACAUAAAUAAAUACCGAAGCAUUCUCAAUCACUAUGAAAACAUUCUGUCUUACAAGUUUGCUUUAAACACAAAGACCAAACAUCUUAUCCAACAAAUCAAAAUUUUCAAUACAGAAGUCGAAUAAUUAUGUCUGUCUUUAACAUUCUGUAGGCAAAAACAUAGAAUCAGAGUACAAAAGGCCUAAUUUACUACUGGUUAGGUGCAUAUACAACAUGCCAGAGCAGUCCAUAAUUAGUUGGCAAAGCCAACACAAGAUUAGAGACGUCUCUCCUUCAUUCUAUAUUUCAAUUAAAUCAACUCUCUGGUCAAAUCCUGCAAACCUUUUCGAGUUUGUUGACUAUGAGCUUCUUGAAUUUGUCUUAUAACAAUUUAACAGGAAAGAUACAUGUGAGCACUCAACUUCAAAGCUUUAAUCCCUCGGGUUUCCAAGGAAACAAACUUUGCGGGCUUCCACUCGUGGUGAACUGCAGUUCAGGUGGUCAAAUUCCUGAUGUCGAUACUGAAAAGGAUGAGAGUGACGAAGAUGAAUUGGAUUGGUUCUACAUUUCAAUGGCAAUAGGAUUUGGUCUUAGCUUUUGGGGAAUAGUAUGUUCUUUGAUUUUCAAGAAUCAAAGAGACAUGCCUAUUAUCGUUUUUUAGAUAGUAGUUGGAAAACCUUAUGUGCAAAGUUAUAAAUAGAGGAAGGGAUAGGUUGAGGAGAUUGUUAUUCUCAAAAGUCUUAUUGUAUGAUGUACUUUUCCUUCAAUAAAAAAUAGAUGACUGUUCCCAAAUGAUGAAGAUGAAUUGGAUUGGAUUGGUUCUACAUUUUUCGGACAAGUUGAGUAUUCCCAACUACUAUUUAAAAAACGAUAAUAGGCAUGUCACCAUAAUCUCUAGAAAAUCAAAGACAAACAUACUCCCCAAAAGCUUAGACCAAAUCCUAUUACCAUUGAAA